ACCCCCUACGGGACGCAGCAGUGGGGAAUAUUGCGCAAUGGGCGAAAGCCUGACGCAGCGACGCCGCGUGAGGGAUGAAGGUCUUCGGAUCGUAAACCUCUGUCAGCAGGGAAGAACGGUCACUGUGCUAAUCAGCAGUGAAUUGACGGUACCUGCAAAGGAAGCACCGGCUAACUCCGUGCCAGCAGCCGCGGUAAUACGGAGGGUGCGAGCGUUAAUCGGAAUUACUGGGCGUAAAGCGCUCGAAGGCGGUAUGUAAAGUCAAGGGUGAAAUCGCAGCGCUCAACGUGGGAGC
This 295-nucleotide ribosomal RNA is filed under the name uncultured bacterium. RNAcentral's name for it is "partial 16S ribosomal RNA". It matches the Rfam family "Bacterial small subunit ribosomal RNA", at positions 334 to 622 of the family's 1533-position model. The record is from RNAcentral.